GGAUUCCCCUAGUAACUGCGAGUGAAGAGGGAAAAGCUCAAAUUUAAAAUCUGGCUGUCUCUGGCUGUCCGAGUUGUAAUUUAGAGAAGUGUUACCCGUUGUUGGGCCGUGUACAAGUCUCCUGGAAUGGAGCGUCAUAGAGGGUGAGAAUCCCGUCUUUGACACGGACUCCAAUGCGUUGUGGUAUGCUCUCAAAGAGUCGAGUUGUUUGGGAAUGCAGCUCUAAAUGGGUGGUAAAUUCCAUCUAAAGCUAAAUAUUGGGGAGAGACCGAUAGCGAACAAGUACCGUGAGGGAAAGAUGAAAAGAACUUUGGAAAGAGAGUUAAACAGUACGUGAAAUUGCUGAAAGGGAAACGCUUGAAGUCAGUCGCGUUAGUUGGGGAUCAGCCUUCCUUUUGGUUGGUGUACUUCCCAGUUGACGGGUCAGCAUCAGUUUUGACCAGUGGAUAAGAGCUUGAGGAAUGUGGCAUCUUCGGGUGUGUUAUAGCCUCUUGUUGUAUACAUUGGUUGGGACUGAGGAACUCAGUACGCCGCAAGGCCGGGUUUUUAACCACGUUCGUACUUAGGAUGCUGGCAUAAUGGCUUUAAUCGACCC
Molecule: small RNA, 595 nt
Filed under: Gymnopus sp. 7090112
Lineage: Eukaryota; Fungi; Basidiomycota; Agaricomycetes; Agaricales; Omphalotaceae
Description: eukaryotic LSU rRNA
Rfam family: Eukaryotic large subunit ribosomal RNA
Source: RNAcentral